GCCCGGCUAGCUCAAUCGGUAGAGCGUAAGACUCUUACUAAAAAGCAAUCUUAAGGCUGCGGGUUCGACCCCCGCGUUGGGCU
Molecule: transfer RNA, 83 nt
Filed under: Calycina marina
Lineage: Eukaryota; Fungi; Ascomycota; Leotiomycetes; Helotiales; Pezizellaceae
Rfam family: tRNA
About the family: Transfer RNA (tRNA) molecules are approximately 80 nucleotides in length.
Source: Rfam by way of RNAcentral